This is a long non-coding RNA of Neltuma alba, 966 nucleotides long. RefSeq lists it as uncharacterized. The transcript has 2 exons. The record is from RefSeq and is a predicted model, not a curated record. Lineage: Eukaryota; Viridiplantae; Streptophyta; Magnoliopsida; Fabales; Fabaceae.
UUUCAAAUGCGGACACGCAGGUUCAUGGAGUGCCUGAAUUUUAACAUUUUGCGAUCCUGUAACUGGAAUUUCACCUUUGAGUUUUAUAUUUUGUAUCUUGCCUCUUACUGUGUGGAGUACGAAUACAUGCCUUUUUGUUAGUUUUUUAAUCCACUGAUCAGAGUUUUAGUCUGAAUAAUCUCUCAGCAUGUUUCCUCUCGGCACAAUGAGAUUACAGAUGAACUCCAGCCAUGCUUCACCACAGAUAACACCAAAAUCCUCAAAUUGGUUGAAGGAGUUCUCACUCCCAUAAUGGAGGGGCCAAAAGCCAACAUGAGAUUUGGUGAUUCAGGCCAAUUGUUACAACUUUCAACUUCCGCAGUUGGUUGGCGAUGGAUUACUUGAUGCAGCUUUGAACCUAAAGAAUACUUAAAGAAUAUACCUACUUAUGGAAGUUACGGUGUAAAUGCUAUUUCCGCAGUUAGUUUCAUUUUUCUUGGAGGAGGAUGUCAACAAUGGUCUAUUUUGGUGAUGCGGCAAAGUGGUUGAAUUAUGAUUUAUGAGUAGAUGGGCCUUAACUCUGAGGAUUUAAAUAGCAUCGAAGUUUCACUAGCCCUUCAGAGGCCAAUCCAAGCUGGACUACUAGUAUUGGAGUAACACUGGUUUUCUGUUCGUAUUUGCUUGCAAAUGCUCAAAUUGCUCUGGUCUAUGAUGGGAUCAGGGGGAAAAAAAUUGGAACAAGACUGCAAGAGUAAGGGGGAGAUAAGGUUAUUUUAUCUGAAACACCUAUUGAGUGGUGAGUGGUUCACGUAAAGGCACUGGCAUUCCAGGUAUGCUUUUCACUUUAGAUAGUUCCCCCCCUCAAUGACGUCCACUAUGAAGUUGAAUAUAUUAUGACUAUUGUCUGCAACAGUUGUUUAUACAUCCUGCUACUUCUGCACAUAGUGUAAAAAAGAAACUAUUAGUUACCACCAUUGUAUUAGUUAA